GUGCUUCGCCGUCUUUUCAUGAAAGCAGAGAUGCUCUGACGUCACUUCCUUUCCUCUCUUGAUCUCGUAGGAGUCACACGUGCCAAUCAGUCGCCGUAAACUGAAAAGAUCAAAAUGGCUCCAGCUAAGAAGAUCAAGAAGAACACCGAGAACAUCAACUCUCGUCUGGCCCUUGUCAUGAAGAGCGGCAAGUUUGUGCUGGGAUACAAGCAGACGCUGAAGACACUGCGACAGGGCAAGGCCAAGCUGGUCAUCAUUGCUAACAACACCCCUCCUCUCAGGAAGAGUGAGAUUGAGUACUAUGCCAUGUUGGCCAAGACCGGCGUCCACCACUACACUGGUAACAACAUUGAGCUGGGCACCGCUUGCGGUAGAUACUUCAGAGUGUGCACCCUCAGCAUUACUGACCCAGGUAUGAGGUAGCCUUGUAGUACAAGAUCUGUAGUGUGCACCCUCAGCAUUACUGACCCAGGUAUGAGGUAGCUUUGUAGUACAAGAUCUGUAGUGUGCACCCUCAGCAUUACUGACCCAGGUAUGAGGUAGCUUUGUAGUACAAGAUCUGUAGUGUGCACCCUCAGCAUUACUGACCCAGGUAUGAGGUAGCCUUGUAGUACAAGAUCUGUAGUGUGCACCCUCAGCAUUACUGACCCAGGUAUGAGGUAGCUUUGUAGUACAAGAUCUGUAGUGUGCACCCUCAGCAUUACUGACCCAGGUAUGAGGUAGCCUUGUAGUACAAGAUCUGUAGUGUGCACCCUCAGCAUUACUGACCCAGGUAUGAGGUAGCCUUGUAGUACAAGAUCUGUAGUGUGCACCCUCAGCAUUACUGACCCAGGUAUGAGGUAGCCUUGUAGUACAAGAUCUGUAGUGUGCACCCUCAGCAUUACUGACCCAGGUAUGAGGUAGCCUUGUAGUACAAGAUCUGUAGUGUGCACCCUCAGCAUUACUGACCCAGGUAUGAGGUAGCCUUGUAGUACAAGAUCUGUAGUGUGCACCCUCAGCAUUACUGACCCAGGUAUGAGGUAGCCUUGUAGUACAAGAUCUGUAGUGUGCACCCUCAGCAUUACUGACCCAGGUAUGAGGUAGCUUUGUAGUACAAGAUCUUCAUAAGCAGCUCUCAUAACAUCCACAUUACAACACUGAACAUUGAUCAUUGUCUUAACAAUCAGGACUGGGGCUUUUCCUUUAAGCUGAUUUCCUUGUUGUGAGUGUCAAGAUUGAUUGCCUUGAAUUGAUCUGUCUGUAUAGUUAGGACUUUUUGAAACCAUUUAGGGGAGGAGGGGAGUAGUUUGAUUUACAAGUUAAUCAUAAUCACAACCAUGAAAAUGACACUCUGUGUUUUAAGUUGCAAUUGAGUGCCUGUCAUUGAAAUAAUGAGCUUUGGCUUAUCAAAUCCAGACUCUUGAUUUUUUUCUUGAAAACAAGAAAAUAUUACACAGGGUGCAGGAUCACGUGACUGUGGGGUUCCCAAUUAAACGUUAAUGGAUGUAAACAGACCGGUAAAACAAUUUUUCUUAAGAAUUUCAACUUUUGCAUAAAGACAGAUUGUUUUGCUGCUUAUAGCAAUGUGAAAAAUAUCUGAAUUACUUUAUUUAAAGUAAACAUGUGUUCUUGUUCAAAAAUUAUAUUUUUUUACUGCAUUCAUGUGUACGGUCAUACUUAAACCAACGUGAAAUUUUGUCACCGAUUUCAGACGUAUUCAGGGUUUUAUUCUUAUACCUUAAGAUAUAGGCACAAACUGCUCUUAAUGUUUUUGCUAAUGUAUUUCAAUAAUUUGAGAUAUUUGCAAAAAUAAAGUCCUCAACAGAGUGUUUACAUUCUGUCCAGCCCCUAAAACCCCUGUUGAUUCUGCACCCUGUACUCGCUGCCCCUCUAUCCAUCUGAUCAGGCCACACUUGAUAUUUGUGGUACUUCCAAUCACUGGUUUAGCCAACAUUUACUGACUUGUAGUCUUAAUGUGUUUCAGGUGAUUCCGACAUUAUCCGCAACAUGCCAUCCGAACAACAGACAGCAUAGGCGUCUCGCAGCCCCAAAUUUACGUGUAUUCUGUACAAUAAACGUGCGGCAGCA
Dreissena polymorpha is the source of this 2067-nucleotide RNA transcript. It is a transcript of the gene named 60S ribosomal protein L30-like, with no coding region annotated. The record is from RefSeq and is a predicted model, not a curated record. Lineage: Eukaryota; Metazoa; Mollusca; Bivalvia; Myida; Dreissenidae. The transcript has 7 exons.